Molecule: RNA transcript, 3971 nt
Organism: Scylla paramamosain (green mud crab)
Lineage: Eukaryota; Metazoa; Arthropoda; Malacostraca; Decapoda; Portunidae
Gene: Ube3a
Gene name: ubiquitin-protein ligase E3A-like
Exons: 10
Source: RefSeq, a predicted model, not a curated record
GUUCAAAUAUGAAUCUUCUCAGCUGAGCAAAAUAAACAUGGCGGCGAGGUCACGUCCUGGAGGCGGGGAGUGAGACUUACCCAGCAAUAAUACACGCACCUUGCAUCAAGUGGGCUUGGAUAUUGUUCACCGCAGCAACAAACGGUAGAGGAAGUUGAUGAGUUCGCCACAAGGGAGCCCAGACCCCGCCGGGGCCGAGGAGGGCGCCAGUAAUGAGACUAUAGGUAAUGAGGAAGAGGCUGGAGCGCAAUCAGAGCAGGGAGGGUCCUCUUGGCCACAGCCACAAGACACGGAUAUGAAGCGAGCAGCUGCCCAACUCAUAGAAAAAUACUACUUCCAGCUGACAGUUGGAUGUGGUAAUGCUCACUGUGAUAACCCCAACUGUGCCUCCUCAGGCAAGGUUGGUACCCUGACAAGUAAUGAGGCAGCAGGGAAGGCACUCCAACUAUGUGCUGCCCGUGCCAGACUGUGUGAGGUGGUGGGUGCCAAGGUUCGCCGGGCUAGUCAGUCCCUGACAUUGGAGGCAGGUGUUGCCUCCUCUGUGUCUGGGAAGGGCCACAGCUCUGCCUCAGGAAACACUGCCACAUGUUCCCUGGUGCAGGAUGUCAACAUGGCCAGUGUGUCCACUCCCAGCUCUGCCCUGCCCCCUCUCUCCCCCAUGGUGGAUGGUCUGAACACAGCCACGGGCCUCACCGAGGAGACACUUGUCCACACUAUAGCUGAGUGUCGCAGUUCUAACAAUUAUGCUAAACUUAGACGAUUGUUGUGGGCAGUAUUUUCAAAUGAAAUUGCCCUCAGACACAGCUUUAUACAGAGAUCUGAACCUGUAGAGAAAAAGAGUGAAUUGCUAGUUAGGAACAAAAGUAAAGACAAUGAGGGUGCCCAGAGCAAGGAAGAGAUCCGAGCACAGGAGGAAGACCUGGACAAGGAUCUGGACAGUGCCGAGGACACCGCCUGUGAGGGGGAAGCAGCGGCAUGUGCCGAGGCGACCCCUGAGGGAGACACCAAAGACCCCUGUAAAGAUUUUGCCACCACUCCAAAUUCAACUGCCUUAGAUAUCAGUGAGGUGCGGCGGGCAUACGCGGCACUGUUUGAAUGUCCUGAGGCGGAAUUCAGCAGCACCCUGACCAAUGCAGUGGUGCAGCUCCUGUCGGACUCUCUGGGCAUCCAGCUGCGGGUGUACAAGGAUGCCUUUUCUGCCAUACCCAACAACAUCAACAUUUUUAUCAUCCUGUUGGAGAGUCCAGCACUCAACACCACCGACUUCAUUGAGGGCGUUAUGCCCAGCCUGUGCCGCACCAUUGGCCAGCUGCCUGAGAGGGAUCAAGCACACCUCACCCGCCACCUGGCCUCCUGGGAGGCUCCCCGCCUACACCGUCUGCUGGAGAGCCUUCACCAGCUCAUCACCAUCCGCCUCCUCACCACUGAAUUUAUACAGGACUUCACCAUCAAUGAUGAGGAAGCCAUCACUUCUGCCACACAAGUCAUGAAGCUACUCUUCUACGCUAGCAUCCUUGGUGGCAAGUUGGACACCCCACUCCUACGGGAUCUUCCCGCAGAGGAUCCCAGCCUGGAGCCAUCCACCCACGAGGAUCCCUUCAGUAGUGUAGGCAAGGACUGGGCUGCCCGUCCCCCACCCAAAGACUCCUUAGGCUCGCUGUUGGGUAUACACGUCCUGGAUGCCCGAACACCCCUCGUGCCCUUGUCUGAGUUCUAUGAUGACUUCUUGAGUGACCAACUGGAGAUGGACCGGGACUUUGCACUGUACAAGGCGGGCAGCAGCGACAAGUUCAGCUUCCUCUACUACCCCUUCAUCCUGACGCCAGCCACCAAGGCACUGGGGCUCUACUAUGACAACAGGAUACGCAUGUACUCUGAGCGCCGCAUGAGCAUCUACCAGCAGUUGAUCGAGGGAAUGGCAGCCAACCCCUACCUGAAGCUGAGGGUGCGGCGAGACCAUAUCAUUGACGAUGCCUUAGUGGAGCUGGAGAUGGUGGCACUGGACAAUCCUGGAGACCUAAAGAAGCAGAUGGUAGUGGAAUUUGAGGGGGAGCAGGGCAUUGAUGAGGGAGGCUUGAGCAAAGAGUUCUUUCAGCUGAUUGUGGAGCAGAUCUUCAACCCAGAUUAUGCUAUGUUUUGCUUCAAUAAUGAGAGUCGCACAUUCUGGUUCAAUCCAAACUGCUUUGAGAAUGAUGCACAGUUCACGCUGGUGGGCAUCGUGUUGGGCUUGGCCAUCUACAACAACGUGAUCCUGGACGUGCACUUCCCACCCGUCAUGUACAAGAAGCUGUGCAGCAAACCGGGCUCCUUCCAUGAUCUGCGGGACUGGAACACGACGCUGUACCGGAGCCUGGUGGAGUUGCUGGAGUAUGAGGGUGAUGACCUGGAGGAGGUGUUCAUGCAGACCUUCCGUGUGGGCUACCAGGACGUGUUUGGCACCAGCCUCACCCAUGACCUUAAGACUGAUGGUGACAACAUCCUUGUCAGCCAGGCCAGCAAACAUGAGUUCGUGGAGCUGUAUGCUGACUUCCUCCUCAAUAAGAUGGUGGAGCGGCAGUUCCGUGCCUUCCGUCGGGGCUUCAACAUGGUGACGGACGACUCACCGCUGGUCAACCUCUUCAGGCCCGAGGAGCUGGAGCUGCUCAUAUGUGGCUCCCAGCACUACGACUUCAUGGAACUGAUGAAGUCGACUGAGUAUGAUGGUGGCUACACCAGUGAGACCCCCAUUGUGCAGGCCUUCUGGGAGCUGGUGCAUGACAUGACCACUGAGGACAAGAAACGUCUCCUGCAGUUCACCACGGGGUCAGCCAGGGUGCCUGUCGGGGGCCUGGCCAGACUGAAGCUCAUCAUUGCAAGACAUGGCCCGGACUGUGACAGGUUGCCAACUGCUCACACCUGCUUCAACGUUCUCCUUCUUCCGGAAUACUCUAGCAAAGAGAAACUGAGGGAUCGUCUUUACAAGGCCAUCAAGUACGCACAGGGCUUUGGAAUGCUCUGAGGAAAGCCGGUGAGGAGGCACCUGUUGACAAGUGUGUGUCUUUGCUACUUGUCUGUGUUGGAGUGGAAAAUGGAAAAGUGUUUUGCCCAGCCAGAUAUGCCUUGCUUCAGUUCAACAUGAUGCAGAUUAGAAAGUUAAGUUGCCUUGAUGAAAAUCAGUGUACAAAUUAAACGAUAUAUUCUUAUUCAUUGCAAAAUUUGCAUGGCAGAAAAAUACUACCAUGUUAUGACUUGAUAUUUUCCUAUUUUAUAUGAGAGCUGAGAUCCUUUAGUGUUUGUGGCCUUUGCAGGAUAUAAGUGUAUCACUUUAUCACACUUGUGCACUGGCGGCACUGUGCCAUUACUUCAUCGUGGGCUGUUGUGCAUCACGGCAUUGGCUAUUCAAGACGGGCUUUUGUUCCCUGCAGCUAAAUGGAUGCUUCCUUUCUUUAAUGAGCUGAAGUUUUUAAAGUUUCAUUGCAUUUUGCAGAUGUUGCAGUUUACAUUAUGUAGAAUUUUAGACUGUAGAUAAAUAAUUUAAAAUUUUGUUUACUCAUAGGUUCCAUAGACAUGUUAUUUUUUUAAUCCAUUUAGACCUCAUAGGCAUUUAAAAGUUCCGAAAAUGCUCAGAUUUUUAAGUAAAUGCUAGAAUAUCACCACCUAUGAAGAAAUCUGUAGCACCUGGUACUAUUGUGAAUAAAUUCAACUAAAGAUUUGUACAUAACAUAGCGUGGCGAGAUGAAGGUGUGCGAUGUCACCUGUUGUUACAUAGAAGGCUGUGCUGUGCUACAGUGUAACCAGACCAUAGAUAGAAUCCACACGCAUGUAACCGUUUUGUAUAAUUUGUCCAUACUUUGAGAUCCCAAGCAUUACCUACUUACUGAUCCUGAGGCUAAUGUACCAAGCAGCACUGUUUUGCUGCUGAAGGUUUAUACAUUUUGUAUGUGAUACUUGAAUGAUAAGUGUAAAUAAAGACAGCAAAAUUCACGCAUAAA